AGCGGCGGACGGGUGAGUAACACGUGGGUAACCUGCCUUGUAGAGGGGGAUAGCCUUCCGAAAGGAGGAUUAAUACCGCAUAAGAUUGUAGUUUCGCAUGAAACAGCAAUUAAAGGAGCAAUCCGCUACAAGAUGGACCCGCGGCGCAUUAGCUAGUUGGUGAGGUAACGGCUCACCAAGGCGACGAUGCGUAGCCGACCUGAGAGGGUGAUCGGCCACAUUGGGACUGAGACACGGCCCAGACUCCUACGGGAGGCAGCAGUAGGGAAUCUUCCACAAUGGACGAAAGUCUGAUGGAGCAACGCCGCGUGAGUGAAGAAGGUUUUCGGAUCGUAAAACUCUGUUGUUGGAGAAGAAUGUAUCUGAUAGUAACUGAUCAGGUAGUGACGGUAUCCAACCAGAAAGCCACGGCUAACUACGUGCCAGCAGCCGCGGUAAUACGUAGGUGGCAAGCGUUGUUCGGAUUUAUUGGGCGUAAAGCGAGCGCAGGCGGUUUCUUAAGUCUGAUGUGAAAGCCUUCGGCUCAACCGAAGAAGUGCAUCGGAAACUGGGAAACUUGAGUGCAGAAGAGGACAGUGGAACUCCAUGUGUAGCGGUGAAAUGCGUAGAUAUAUGGAAGAACACCAGUGGCGAAGGCGGCUGUCUGGUCUGUAACUGACGCUGAGGCUCGAAAGCAUGGGUAGCAAACAGGAUUAGAUACCCUGGUAGUCCACGCUGUAAACGAUGAAUACUAGGUGUGGGAGGACUGACCCCUUCCGUGCCGCAGUUAACACAAUAAGUAUUCCACCUGGGGAGUACGACCGCAAGGUUGAAACUCAAAGGAAUUGACGGGGGCCCGCACAAGCAGUGGAUUAUGUGGUUUAAUUCGACGCAACGCGAAGAACCUUACCAGGAUUUGACAUCCUACUAACGAAGCAGAGAUGCAUUAGGUGCCCUUCGGGGAAAGUAGAGACAGGUGGUGCAUGGUUGUCGUCAGCUCGUGUCGUGAGAUGUUGGGUUAAGUCCCGCAACGAGCGCAACCCCUAUUGUUAGUUGCUACGCAAGAGCACUCUAGCGAGACUGCCGUUGACAAAACGGAGGAAGGCGGGGACGACGUCAAAUCAUCAUGCCCCUUAUGUCCUGGGCUACACACGUAAUACAAUGGUGGUUAACAGAGGGAAGCAAGACUGCGAAGUGGAGCAAAUCCCUAAAAGCCAUCUCAGUUCGGAUUGCAGGCUGCAACUCGCCUGCAUGAAGCUGGAAUUGCUAGUAAUCGCGGAUCGGCAUGCCGCGGUGAAUACGUUCCCGGGCCUUGCACUCACCGCCCGUCA
RNAcentral lists this ribosomal RNA (1310 nucleotides) under uncultured bacterium. RNAcentral's name for it is "partial 16S ribosomal RNA". It matches the Rfam family "Bacterial small subunit ribosomal RNA", at positions 94 to 1399 of the family's 1533-position model. The record is from RNAcentral.